GCAUAUCAAUAAGCGGAGGAAAAGAAACUAACAAGGAUUCCCCUAGUAACGGCGAGUGAAGAGGGAAGAGCUCAAAUUUUAAAUCCGCCUUGUUCACAAGGCCGAGUUGUAAUUUGAAGAAGCGUUUUCUUGGGCUCGCUGCCGGUAGAAGUUCUUUGGAACAGGACAUCAUAGAGGGUGACAAUCCCGUCUGUGACUGGUCGCGCGGUCCAUCUAUGAUACGCUUUCAAAGAGUCGAGUUGUUUGGGAUUGCAGCUCCAAAUGGGUGGUAAACAUCACCUAAGGCUAAAUAUUGGCGAGAGACCGAUAGCGAACAAGUACCGUGAGGGAAAGAUGAAAAGAACUUUGAAAAGAGAGUUAAACAGUACGUAAAAUUGUUGAAAGGGAAACGAUUGAAGUCAGUCAUACCAACGGGAAAUCAACCUUCUGAGCUUGGUCUCGUGGGUUUUGAAGAGUUUCAAAGCCUUCGGAUUCGCGGGAUUGGGAUCUCUUGGUGUACUUUUUCGUACGGUUAGUCAACAUCGGUUUUGAAUGUCAUAAAAUGACUGGAGGAAUGUAGCUUCGAUCUCGUAUUGAAGUGUUAUAGACUUUGGUAGAUGUGAUGUUUGAGACCGAGGAUUGCAACGGAUACCCUUCAGGGCUAUUCGUCUGAUCUCUGAUACGUUGCCUUGAUGUUGAAAGCUUGCUUAUGAUGUUAGGGUAUUACGGUCAAAAGGUUAGAACGAAUUACAUUCGUUAANGAUGUUGACGUA
Molecule: ribosomal RNA, 752 nt
Filed under: uncultured Glomerales
Lineage: Eukaryota; Fungi; Glomeromycota; Glomeromycetes; Glomerales; Glomeraceae
Description: LSU rRNA
Rfam family: Eukaryotic large subunit ribosomal RNA
Source: RNAcentral